Molecule: ribosomal RNA, 119 nt
Filed under: Pteropus alecto (black flying fox)
Lineage: Eukaryota; Metazoa; Chordata; Mammalia; Chiroptera; Pteropodidae
Source: RNAcentral
GGCUACAGCCCUGCUACCCUGAACAAGCCCGAUCCCAUCUGAUCUCAGAAGCUAAGCAGGGUCAGGCCUGGUUAGUACUUGGAUGGGAGACCACCUAGGAAGACCAGAUGCUAUAGGUG